GAAAUGCGAUAAGAAGUGUGAAUUGCAGAAUUCAGUGAAUCAUCGAAUCUUUGAACGCACAUUGCGCCCCUUGGUAUUCCAUGGGGCAUGCCUGUUCGAGCGUCAUCUACACCCUCAAGCUCUGCUUGGUGUUGGGCGUCUUUGUCCCGCCUCCGCGCGCGGACUCGCCCCAAAUUCAUUGGCAGCGGUCCUUGCCUCCUCUCGCGCAGCACAUUGCGCUUCUCGAGGUGUUGCGGCCCGCGUCCAGAAAGCAAUCGUUACCGUCUUUGACCUCGGAUCAGGUAGGGAUACCCGCUGAACUUAAGC
RNAcentral lists this unclassified non-coding RNA (306 nucleotides) under plant metagenome. RNAcentral describes it as "partial contains 5.8S ribosomal RNA, internal transcribed spacer 2, and large subunit ribosomal RNA". The stretch from base 1 to 105 matches the Rfam family "5.8S ribosomal RNA", at positions 50 to 154 of the family's 154-position model. The record is from RNAcentral.